This 2516-nucleotide long non-coding RNA is filed under the name Podarcis lilfordi (Lilford's wall lizard). Lineage: Eukaryota; Metazoa; Chordata; Lepidosauria; Squamata; Lacertidae. The record is from RNAcentral.
GGAGAGAAAUAGUAUAGGGAUGACGGAGGAGGUCUUUCCUUUGCAUUUGUACCAAGCUGAGAUUUUUCCACAUCCCCCAAAAUGAUGGCUCCAUUAUGAACAUUUGCCAAAGUGAGAGGUGAGCCCAGAGAACUUUUCAUUUGAAAGCGAGGGGCUCUUGGUGGGGAGGUGGGGGUGGGGGUCUUGCAGGGCCUCCUCCCACCUUGCAGGGCCUUUUCACCAUCAUGACUUCUCCGAAGCCCAGUGUGCUGGGCCUGGGGGCUAACCUGAGCAAUGCGCUCCAGGUCUGGUCCCAAAUCCAAGGAUUCCACGAGGAGUCAGUCCGACAGGGCCAAGGCAGGUCACAAGGCAGGAAACCAGGAUAGGUCAGGCACAGGGUCAUAGGCAGGAUCUGGCAUACAGCAAUGUUGCUCCCGCAACCUGGGGCAGGAUCCGGCAGCCUUUUAUCUCUGUCGGGGUAACGGCUGGUCCUGAUCCCCUGGUGACUCACCUCCCUGUCUCGCCCGAAGGCAAGCACUCCUCCUGCGAGUACUCAGGUCUCUCCUUCUCUCAGACCUCAAUCUCUGCAGCUCAGGAGACGUCGGUGGGUUACUAGACCCAGAGGCCGCCUCAGCCUCCCCUGACCCAACCGGUAAUGGAGCAGCUGUAAGUGAUGGCCCAGCUGAAGGCAACAAGGUCAUCCCCACAUCUGGAGCCAGGGCAGGCUCAGGCCCCUGACUCGGCCCAGCUGGUGCUUGAUGCAGGGGAACCUGUGCAGACUGGGACUCUUCAGGAUCAGGCCCCAGACUUGGUUCAAAUGAUGCCUGAGGCAAAGGAUCCAGUGCAGACUGAGACUCCUCUGGUGCCGAGUCUGAGCCCGAGUCCCAGGCCAUCACACCCUGGCAGCUGUGACACACCGGCUCAUGAUAGCUGCCAAGUGUUAUCCCCACCACCAAACACCAGGCUUAAGAGUGACGGCAUGAAGCCUCACCCUCCCUCUGAGUUGGCUUCACCCCAUACGGUCAUCAUCACAAAGCAAUCAGGAAGUAGGCAAUUCUCCCUGUCCUCAAGCUGGAGCAAGAGAGAGGGAGGAGAAGGGCAUCUUUUGUUUAUUUUAUCCCUUUAAACAAGGCAUGCAUAGGCAACUGGUUCCACAUAACUCGCUUCCACGGGUAACAAGUUGACAGUGCCAGCCAUUCAAAGAUGGCGUCAUAAUUUGGCAAAGUGAAAGAGCCAUGCAGUCAGGGUGCAGCCAAUGGGGGCAUGGGGUGGGUGGGUGGCAAUCUGUCAGGGAUCUUUAGUGGGGAUUCCUAUAUUGCAACGGGUUGGACUAAUAAUAAUAAUAAUAAUAAUAAUAAUAAUAAUUUAUUUAUACCCCGCCCAUCUGGCUGGGUUUCCCCAGCCACCCUGGGCAGCGUCCAACAGAACACUAAAAUACAAUAACCUAUUAAACAUUAAAAGCUGCCCUAAACAAGGCUGCCUUCAGAUGUCUUCUAGAAGUCUGGUAGUUGUUUUUCUCUUUGACAUCUGGUGGGAGGGCGUUCCACAGGGUGGGUGCCACCACCAAGAAGGCCUUCUGCCUGGUUCCCUGUAAUCUCACUUCUCACAAUGAGGGAAUUGCCAGAAGGCCCUUGGCACUGGACCUCAGAGUCUGGGCAGAAUGAUGGGGGUGGAGAUGCUCCUUUAGGUAUACUGGGACGAGGCCAUUGAGGGCUUUAAAGGUCAGCACCAACACUUGGAAUUGUGCUCGGAAAUGUACUGGGAGCGAAUGUAAGUGUUUCAAGACCGGUGUUAUAUGGUCUCGGCGGCCGCUCCCAGUCACUAGUCUAGCUGCCGCAUUCUGGAUUAGUUGUAGUUUCUGGGUCACCUUCAAAGGUAGCCCCACGUAGAGCGCAUUGCAGUAGUCCAAGCGGGAGAUAACCAGAGCAUGCACCACUCUGGUGAGACAGUCUGUGGGCAGGGAGGGUCUCAGCCUGUGUAGAAGAUGGAGCUGGUAGACAGCUGCCCUGGACACAGAAUUGACCUGUGCCUCCAUGGACAGCUGGGAGUCCAGAAUGACUCCCAGGCUGCGCACUUGGUCCUUCAGGGGCACAGUUACCCCAUUCAGGACCAGGGAGUCCUCCACACCUGCCCGCCCGUCUCCUGUCCCCCCAAAACCGUACUUCUGUCUUGUCCCUAGAGUUGGGGUCCCUUUCAACUCUACAGUUAUAUGAUUCCAUGGGUUAGAAUGCACCCAUCUGUUGGGGGCAUGGGUUUGGAAUUCCACAUCCGAUGGGUGACCCUCAGGAUCCCUUCUCCACCUUUCUAGGAGUCUAUGAUUCCCUCUAUAUCAACACAGCUCAGUCCCUUCCUGAUGCCGUCACUGAAAGUACACCUGGAAAACGGUAACAAAAAAGCCCUGCAAAUUCCUUUUCCUCAACAACACACAGUCCUUCACUCCUAAAGCCUUUUGCUUUUCCUCUUGGCCUUUGAACACUUCAGUCCUUAGGAGAUACCUGGUGACGUUCCGCCUGGAUGAGAAGAUUGAUUCUGACCCG